GUCACUGGAAUUCUUCACAUGCAGUGCUUAAAGCAAUCCUUCAGGACUAAAGGUAGAAGGUGGCUGUGAGUGGAGUGACUCAGGUGGGACCAGCAUGGAUGUGCGGUGGAGUAGCCUGAAGCCAGGCUGCAGGAGGAAUUUGUCUCAAAGACUAAGUCUCACAGCAUCUCUUUGGAAAAGCUAAAAUCACAUGGAAUGAUUUGUGGCAAAUCCCCCCAGUCUGCAUGCUUGUAAUAGAGCAGAACGUGUCAGAUAAAUAGAAUGUAUAUAUUUUGGAGAAGAAUUUCAGCUUAAAUGUUGCCUAAACCUCAUUCAUAGGUAGAUUCUGGAAAGAAGAAUGGCUGAAACCUGGGCGCCAGAUCCUUGAAUGCCACAUUAUAACAUACACGUCACAGAAGUGGUUGGGUAGCAACGUGUGUAUGUACUUGGACACUGUAUUUUGAGUACACUGGGGACCAUGGAAGCAUCGGGACUCCCUCUUCCAGGGAGCUGGAAUCAUCGCAAGCACCUCAGCCAGUGGGUGUGAAACAACCCCCAGGAUUCUGGGUUUAUACUAAUGGAGGUAGAGCACAAACUCUCAAUUUUGGGAACAGCCCCUUCCAACUCUCAGAACUUAGUAUUUCUCAUCAACCACAAGAUUGACUGAGCCUUCAUGGCCAAGAAACUUCUGCUGGUAAGAGCCUGGCCUCAAAACAGGAAAAUCUUAGUAGUGAGAAGUGUUUCUUUGCUGUAGAAUUUUCUCCCGCUAUAGAGGUCUGAACAGUGGAAGAUUUCUCUCUAGUGGCCAAAGCCAGUGCCACUGAUACAAACAUGAGGCAUGACCAGAGCGAGUGAGUAUUGAAGUAGAUGAUGCCAAAGGUUCCCUUCUGGUCCUUACCAUUCUACGGUUCUAUAUUCUAAAAAUGUAGUAUAUAAUAUUACGUGUAGCCAUCUGUGUGGACAGAAGGGCAACCCAUAUUUUGUCUUUGCAGUGCAGAGAUGAAAGCUGUUACUCGUAACUUGACAGCAUGCUCCCGUUAAAUGAUAUCCUGUGCAGGGGACCAAGAAAUGGACAAGAGGAAGAGAGGAGCUUCAAGUGUGUUUUGGGAGACUCUCAGGAAGCACAGCACAUCUCUGGUGAUAUAAGCCUCGAUGCCCGUGAUGCUGUCUUGGACCUGAAACACCCUCGCUUUCUCCUCUCCCGGUGCCAAGGAUGCUGUGGCUCCUCCACGCUCGGGACAUGGUCCUGAAGCCAAGAUGCCCACACGGCUGCUUGAACCUCUGCGGGGCCUGCCUUCUCUGUCUCCAGCAAAGGAAAGAACUCAGGUCACAUCGGACUUAGAGAGACUCUUCAAGCCUGCAGGACACGGUCAUCCCACAAACGCCUUCAUUUGUGGUGUACUUGAACUUUCUGUGUGUAGGACAGUCAUCAACCUGUAGUUCAUCCCCACACUCUGGCCAGAAGCACAGAGGGGGUCAGGGCGUCGAUGGCGUCAUCCUGAAGGGAGUGCCCGGCUCUCGUCAGAAACAUGGCUGAAAUGAAAAAAUAUUCACUCCAUGAAAAGAAAAAAGAAAACCCCUAUUUUUACAGCAUAUUGAUUCUCAACCAUAAUUUCCCUACAUGGAUAUAAACAUGCAGCUGGUACCUGGAGCCUCAGUUUGAGGAACGUGUAGGACACAAGGUCGUUCAGGAAGAAACUGUAGGAAGUCAGUCUGGCAAGAGGUGAAAACAUAGACCAGUGAGAGCCUGACCAGCAAUCUGGAAGUUUCUGAGACUCACUUAUACUCUAGAGAUGUCCCAUCCAGCCACUUCCAUUCGUUUUCCUGCUCUGAGUCUGUGAGGCCGAUCCAGUAGUUCUCUCUCCCUACCAUCUGCUUUUUGAUCCAUUGCUGAAAAAUAAAUCAGAAACGGUACAUUACUAUUUCUUGAACAGAUGUUUGGGGGACUUUCCCCUCAAUGUUUAGAAAAGAAGGACACUUUAUAAGAGGAUGUUUAUCAGACUUUAACAGA
This is a long non-coding RNA of Lagenorhynchus albirostris (white-beaked dolphin), 1990 nucleotides long. RefSeq lists it as uncharacterized. The transcript is spliced from 4 exons. The record is from RefSeq and is a predicted model, not a curated record. NCBI's taxonomy places the organism in Eukaryota, Metazoa, Chordata, Mammalia, Artiodactyla, Delphinidae.